This 497-nucleotide ribosomal RNA is filed under the name uncultured bacterium. Its description in RNAcentral is "partial 16S ribosomal RNA". It matches the Rfam family "Bacterial small subunit ribosomal RNA", at positions 28 to 507 of the family's 1533-position model. The record is from RNAcentral.
GAUGAACGCUGGCGGCGUGCCUAAUACAUGCAAGUCGAGCGAACAGACGAGGAGCUUGCUCCUCUGACGUUACCGGCGGACGGGUGAGUAACACGUGGAUAACCUACCUAUAAGACUGGGAUAACGGCGGGAAACCGGAGCUAAUACCGGAUAAUAUAUUUAACCGCAUGGUUCAAUAGUGAAAGACGGGUUUGCUGUCACUUAUAGAUGGAUCCGCGCCGCAUUAGCUAGUUGGUAAGGUAACGGCUUACCAAGGCAACGAUGCGUAGCCGACCUGUGAGGGUGAUCCGCCACACUGGAACUGAGCCGCGGUCCAGACUCCUACGGGAGGCACAAGUAGGGAAGCUUCCGCGAUGGGCGGAAGCCUGACGGAGCGACGCCGCGUGGGUGCUGCAGGUCUUCGGAUCGUAUAACUCUGUUAUUAUGGAAGAACAAAUGUGUAAGUAACUAUGCACUUCUUGACGGUACCUAAUCAGAAAGCCCCGGCUAACUACGUG